Long non-coding RNA from Physeter macrocephalus (sperm whale), 3123 nucleotides. RefSeq lists it as uncharacterized. The transcript is spliced from 4 exons. The record is from RefSeq and is a predicted model, not a curated record. Lineage: Eukaryota; Metazoa; Chordata; Mammalia; Artiodactyla; Physeteridae.
AGGUGCGGGGCGGCCAUUGCGCUUGCGCGUAGAUCUUCCCUAAUUGUUUCUUCCGUGCCAGCGUCUCUCCCAUCUGUCCGGCUGGAAUUGGAGGUUUCUGUCCCUUUCUCCUGACCUUUAGGAGUGUGUGACUUCAGCUGCGAGACCUCCUUCGGCCGACUCAGCCAGCGCAAGGGACGUGGGUGUGUAUGAGGAGAGACGGUCAGGCAAUUGUGGUGAUGCUUAAGGCCUUUGGGUCGUGAUGCAUCAAAUCUCAAAGUGGCAAGAGUGGAAGGAGCCCGGAGAUAGCAAAAGCACCCUAAAUGGAGUAGAGGAAAUGCUCUCACUGGCAUUUUAAAAAUCAUCCUCACAAAACUCGGGUCCUAAGAAAAACCUCACUGAUGGAGAAAACCACUGCUGACUCAGAGGCAGGUUUAAUUGUGGUUGUCUUUCACCAUGUUCUGGGCAGCUUGUCAGCAAACCACACACAUCAAACAAGGAAGCAAAACCAACUGAAGAGCUCUCAAUCAGCUUUCCAUUAUGCAAAAACUGAAGGUUAAUGGGGAAAGAAGGCUCACAGGAAGUUCAUUAACAAGGGAUAAACAGACACAAGUGAUCUGGAACCAAACCUGCAAUCUCUCUGAGGUAUUCCUAUGUUUAAGGACUCUGCCCAAUCAUUUGCUGACCACUAAGAUAAUAUAACAGAGACUUCAGGAGCCACAUAAAACAAAGAAUAGACUACAGAAUUCGUCUGUUUAGAAAAGUCAUGAAACAAUAACAACUACAAUAAGCAGCAACAACAACAAAUCCUCGGAAAUGGAGAGUUGAUACAAUUAUUAUCACCCGAAGUCCAUAAUUUAAGAUUCAUUCCUGGUGUUGUACAUUCUAAGCCACCAGAUGCCUUCCAGAGUGGCUGUACUAUUUUGCAUCCCUGCAAGCAAUGUAUGAGAGUUCCUGUUGCUGCAUAUCCUCAACAACAUUUGGUGUAAUCACUGGUUUGAAUUUUAGCCAUUCUAAUAGAUGUAUGGUGAUACCUUGUUUUAAUUUGCAAGUCCCUGAUGAAAUGUGAUGUUGAGCAUCUUUUCAUACGAUUAUUUGAUAACUGUGUAUCUUCUUUAAUAAGUUGUCUAUUCAUAUCUUUAGCCCAUCUUUUAGUCAGGUUGUGUGUUAUUGUUGGGUUGUAAGAGUUCUUUGUAUAUUUUGGAUAACAGACCUUUAUCAGAUCUGUCUUUUACAAAUAUUUUCUCCCACUCUGUGGCUUGUCUUCUCCUUCUCUUGACAGUGUCUUUUUGCAGAGGAGAAGUUUUUAAUUUUAGUGAAGCCCAGGUUAUCAAUUCUUCCAUGGAUUUUGCCUUUGGUGUUACACCUAAACAGUCAUCACCAUGCCCAAGGUCAUAUAGAUUUUUUCCAAUGUUAUCUCCUAGGAGUUUUAUGGUUCUGCAUUUUACUCUUAGGUCUGUGAUAUAUUUUUAGUUAAUUUUUAUAAAAGGUAUAAGGUCUGUGUCUAGAUUCACAUUUUUGCAUAUGAAUGUGCAGUUGUUUCAACACCAUUUGUGGAAAAGUCUACCUUUGCUCCAUUGUGUUGCCUUUGCUUCUUUGUUGGAGAUCAGUUGAUUAUAUUUAUAUGGGUACAGUUCUGGGCUCUCUAGUCUAUUCCAUUGAUCUACAUGUCUGUUCUUUUGCCAGUACCACACUGUCUUGAUUACUGUAGUUUAUAGUAAGUCUUAAGGUCAGCUUGUGUCAGCCUUCUGACUUUGUUCUUUUCCUUCAAUAUUGUGUUGGCUAUUCUGGGUUUUUAUCUCUCCGUAUACAUUCAGAAACAGUUGUUGAUAUCCAAAAAAUAAUUUAUUAAGAUUUUUAGGAUCUGAUUGAAUCUGUAUAUCAAGUUGGGAAGAACUGACAUCUUGACAAUAUUGAGUCUUCUUAUCCAUGAAUAUGGAAUAUCUGUUUAUUUAGGUCUUUGAUUUCUUUCAUCAGAGGUUUGUAGUUUUCUUCAACUAGAUCUUGCACAUAUUUUGUUAGAUUUAUACCUAAGUAUUUCAUUUUGUGGGGAGGGGUGCUAAUGUUUGUGCUAUUUUUUAAAAUCUCAAAUUCUACUUGUUCAUUGUUGGUACAUAGGAAAGCCAUAUACUUUUGUAUAUUAACCUUGUAUACUGCAACUUUGCUAUAAUUGCUUAUUAGUCCCAGAAAGGUGUUUUUGGCAAUUAUUUCACACCUUUUGUAUAAACAACCAUGUCAUCUGUGAACAAAGACAGUUCUAUUUCUUCUUGAAACUCUAUACCCAUUGAACAAUAACACCCAAUUCCACCCUCCCCCCAGCUGCUGGCAACCACCAUUCUACUCUCUGCUUCUCUGAGUUUGACUACUCUAAGUACCUCAUGGAAGUACAAUUAUAUAGAAUUUGUUUUUUUGUGACUGUCAUUUCAUUUAGCAUAAUAUCCUCCAGGUUCAUUCAUAUUGUAGCAUAUGUCAGAAUUUUCUUCCUUUUUAAGGCUGAAUAAUAUUCUGUUGUGUGUAUAUAUUACAUACAAUGUAUGCAUCCAAUACUGGACACUUGAGUUUCUUCCAUGUUUUAGCUACUGUGAAUAAUGCUGCUAUGAACAUGGUUGUACAAAACAUCUCUUUGAGACGCAGCUUGCAAUUCUUUUGGGUACAUACCCAGAAGUGGAAUUGCUAGAUCUUAUGGUAAUUCUAUUUUUAAUUUUUUGAGGAACUACCAUACUGUUUUCCACUGUACCAUUUUACUUUCCCACCAACAGUACACAAGGGUUCCACUUUAUCCAAAUCCUUGCCAACACUUUUUAUUUUCUGGUUUUUUAUAUUAACUAUUCUACUGGAUGGGAGGUGGCAUCUCAUUUUACUUUUAAUUUGCAUUUCCCUAAUGAUUAAUGUUGUUGAUCAUUUUUUUCAUGUGCUUUUUGGCCAUUUAUAUAUCUUCUUUGGAGAAAUGUCUAUUCAAGUCCUUUGCUGAUUUUUGAAUUGAGCUGUUUGGUGUUUUUGUUGAUGAGUUUUAGGAGCUCUCUAUACAUUCUGGAUAUUAAUCACUUAUCUGAUAAAUGAUUUACAAAUAUUUCUUCCAUUGUGUGGGUUGCCUUUUUUACUCUGUUGAUAUUGUGAUUAUUAUUAUUACUUGCAGUAACAUAA